GCUUACUUCAGCAGCAUAUACUAAAAUUGCAACCACACAGAGAAGAUUAGCAUGGCCCCUGAGUAAGACAUGCAAAUUCAUGAAGCCUUCCAUAUUUAU
RNAcentral lists this small nuclear RNA (99 nucleotides) under Ursus maritimus (polar bear). Lineage: Eukaryota; Metazoa; Chordata; Mammalia; Carnivora; Ursidae. The record is from RNAcentral.